Molecule: transfer RNA, 76 nt
Filed under: Bacteroidetes bacterium GWE2_32_14
Lineage: Bacteria; Pseudomonadati; Bacteroidota
Also listed under: 1 other name
Description: tRNA-Gly
Rfam family: tRNA
About the family: Transfer RNA (tRNA) molecules are approximately 80 nucleotides in length. Their secondary structure includes four short double-helical elements and three loops (D, anti-codon, and T loops).
Source: RNAcentral
GCGAGAAUAGCUCAGUUGGUAGAGCGUAAGCUUCCCAAGCUUAAGGUCGCGGGUUCGAGACCCGUUUCUCGCUCAA